CAGCCCCUCGAGUGGUGGGGAUGAUUAUUUGGCCUAAAGCGUCCGUAGCCGGCCGUGUAAGUCUCCCGUUAAAUCCAGCGUCUCAAGCGUUGGACUGCGGGAGAUACUGCUCGGCUAGAGAGUGGGAGAGGUGUGCGGUAUUCUGGGGGUAGGGGCGAAAUCCUUUGAUCCCCGGAGGACCACCAGUGGCGAAGGCUGCUGACUAGAACACGUCUGACGGUCAGGGACGAAAGCUGGGGUAGCGAACCGGAUUAGAUACCCGAGUAGUCC
Molecule: ribosomal RNA, 270 nt
Filed under: uncultured archaeon
Lineage: Archaea
Description: partial 16S ribosomal RNA
Rfam family: Archaeal small subunit ribosomal RNA
Source: RNAcentral